Bos indicus x Bos taurus (hybrid cattle) is the source of this 1735-nucleotide long non-coding RNA. Lineage: Eukaryota; Metazoa; Chordata; Mammalia; Artiodactyla; Bovidae. The record is from Ensembl.
GGGCCAGCCCGGAAGCUGGCUUCCUCCAGGCUCCCCCUCUAGCUGCUGCCAAGCUGCCUCUCAGCCAGGCUGACGGAAACUUGGUUCCGCACUCACUGCCCAGGAGACGUGAGGGGUUUUCUCUUGGGGAGAAAUCAGUGGUCGGGCGCUGCCUGGUUCGAAUGCCACCCCACCGGAGGGAGGCCUGCAAGUGUAGGGGUCCCUGAGGGAGAGGAAGUCCUGGGACCAAGGAAACCAGCUUUUGGAGAUCGACCUUUCUGUGCAACGUCACACCUCCUGAGGGCAGCCAGGAGGACUCCGGCUUUUGCUGAGCAUUGCAUCUUACCUCCUUCCUUUCAAAGGCUCCAGAUCCCAGCUUACCUGUCCCCGAGUCCUGUGUGCCCCUAACCAGGCAUCCCACGACCCCUCCAGCCCAGCCCAGCCCUAGAACUCACCUCCAGGCCCUGGAGCCUGCCCUCCUGCCCAGAAUGACUCACCAUUAUUUCUAGCUCAAGUGAGAAGACAUGAUGGGGUGUCGGGCUGCCCGUUUGUAUAUCUAGGAUUCCUGAAGCAUCGGAUCAGCUCUGCAAGGAAGAGAGCUGCAGAUUCCUGCCUUGCCAGCCAAGCGAGGCUCUCUCUCCAGCUCUCAGGGAGCCCUGGGGGCUCUCCCGCUGGAACCCAGGCUGAUGCUGCUGUGUUUCCUGGGGCCGUAAGCACCAUCCCAAGCUCCCAGCCACCAGGCAGCUAGAAGGCACAGCGAGAGGCGCCUCUCCCGGUUCCAAUUAUGACAGUGGCCACUGGAGACCCAGCGGAUGAGGCUGCUGCCCUCCCUGGGCACCCGCAGGAUACCUAUGACCCAGAAGCAGACCACGAAUGCUGUGAGAGGGUGGUGAUCAACAUCUCAGGGCUGCGGUUUGAAACCCAGCUAAAGACCUUAGCCCAGUUUCCAGAGACCCUCUUAGGGGACCCAAAGAAACGGAUGAGAUACUUUGAUCCCCUCCGGAACGAGUACUUUUUCGAUCGGAACCGCCCGAGCUUUGAUGCCAUUUUGUACUACUACCAGUCUGGGGGCCGGUUAAGGCGGCCCGUGAAUGUGCCGUUAGACAUAUUCUCUGAGGAAAUUCGGUUUUAUGAGCUGGGAGAAGAAGCAAUGGAGAUGUUUCGGGAAGAUGAAGGCUACAUCAAAGAGGAAGAGCGUCCUCUGCCUGAAAAUGAAUUUCAGAGACAGGUGUGGCUUCUCUUUGAAUACCCAGAGAGCUCAGGGCCUGCCAGGAUUAUAGCUAUUGUGUCUGUCAUGGUGAUCUUGAUCUCAAUCGUCAGCUUCUGCCUGGAGACGUUGCCCAUAUUCCGGGAUGAGAAUGAAGACAUGCAUGGCAGUGGAGUGACCUUCCAUACCUACUCCAAUAGCACCAUCGGGUACCAGCAGUCCACUUCCUUCACUGACCCUUUCUUCAUCGUAGAGACCCUCUGUAUCAUCUGGUUCUCCUUUGAGUUCUUGGUGAGGUUCUUUGCCUGUCCCAGUAAAGCCGGCUUCUUCACCAACAUCAUGAACAUCAUUGACAUCGUGGCCAUCAUCCCCUACUUCAUCACCCUGGGAACAGAGCUGGCUGAGAAGCCAGAGGAUGCUCAGCAGGGUCAGCAGGCCAUGUCACUGGCCAUCCUUCGAGUCAUCCGGGAGAAGCUAACAAACCAAGGGACCUCUCAGCUUCAGAUUUCACCAUUUUUGCAGGCUUCAGGGUCACAAAAACAUGUCUGA